This 362-nucleotide ribosomal RNA is filed under the name uncultured bacterium. Its description in RNAcentral is "bacterial SSU rRNA". It matches the Rfam family "Bacterial small subunit ribosomal RNA", at positions 32 to 416 of the family's 1533-position model. The record is from RNAcentral.
AAUCAACGCUGGCGGCGUGCCUAAUACAUGCAAGUCGAACGGGCGUAGCAAUACGUCAGUGGCGGACGGGUGAGUAACACGUGGGAACAUGCCUUUCGGUUCGGAAUAACGCAGGGAAACUUGCGCUAAUACCGGAUGACCCGGCGACGGAAAAGAUUUAUCGCCGAAAGAUUGGCCCGCGUAGGAUUAGCUAGUUGGUGAGGUAACGGCCCACCAAGGCGACGAUCCUUAGCUGGUUUGAGAGAACGAUCAGCCACACUGGGACUGAGACACGGCCCAGACUCCUACGGGAGGCAGCAGUAGGGAAUCUUGGACAAUGGGGGAAACCCUGAUCCAGCCAUGCCGCGUGAGUGAUGAAGGCC